UACGAAGGGUGCAAGCGUUAAUCGGAAUUACUGGGCGUAAAGCGUGCGUAGGUGGUUUGUUAAGUCGGAUGUGAAAGCCCUGGGCUCAACCUGGGAAUGGCAUUCGAUACUGGCAAGCUAGAGUUCGGUAGAGGGGUGUGGAAUUCCCGGUGUAGCGGUGAAAUGCGUAGAGAUCGGGAGGAACAUCAGUGGCGAAGGCGACACCCUGGACCAGAACUGACACUGAGGCACGAAAGCGUGGGGAGCAAACAGG
This 253-nucleotide ribosomal RNA is filed under the name uncultured bacterium. RNAcentral's name for it is "partial 16S ribosomal RNA". It matches the Rfam family "Bacterial small subunit ribosomal RNA", at positions 524 to 776 of the family's 1533-position model. The record is from RNAcentral.